UCAGGGCGUAGCCAAGCUAGAAGGGCGUCUCCCUUACACUGAGAAGGUAUCCGUGCAAGUCGGAUCGUCCUGAA
Molecule: transfer RNA, 74 nt
Filed under: Bothrocara hollandi
Lineage: Eukaryota; Metazoa; Chordata; Actinopteri; Perciformes; Zoarcidae
Description: tRNA-Val
Rfam family: tRNA
About the family: Transfer RNA (tRNA) molecules are approximately 80 nucleotides in length. Their secondary structure includes four short double-helical elements and three loops (D, anti-codon, and T loops).
Source: RNAcentral